This 448-nucleotide long non-coding RNA is filed under the name Gossypium raimondii (Peruvian cotton). RNAcentral describes it as "long non-coding RNA (GRAI_LNC011118)". Lineage: Eukaryota; Viridiplantae; Streptophyta; Magnoliopsida; Malvales; Malvaceae. The record is from RNAcentral.
AUAAAUCAAACAAAUACUUGUUAAAAAAAAAAAGCUAAAUGCAACCACAAUUCACUUCAAAGAGUUCAAACAAAUUUCAUGCCCUCCAAGCCAAUGGAAGAAAUAACCCUCGUUGCUUAAUAAAACCUCCAUGUUGUUUAUAACAAUUUUACUUCAAAAUAGAAGUGUUCAAUAGGUAUAAUAGACAAGAAGACAUAGUCCAGACUAAGGAGAAAAUAUAUCAGCACUAAAGAUGAAAUAAAAGACCUCCCUAAAAUGGGGAGGGAAGGAACAAAAGGGGCAAACCUGGAAGUGGGGAGGGAAGGAAAGUUGUGAAAAGGGUUAAAAGCGAGGAGAUUUAUCACAUCAAGUUGAAAAGGGUUCUGGUUCUCCGUCUCCAUCUUCAGCUGGCGUUGGUAUGUAGUGCUUGCUGUUAAGCAAGGCUAUUAGUUCGGCUUCUUAAAACCUA